Molecule: unclassified non-coding RNA, 258 nt
Filed under: Hevea brasiliensis (rubber tree)
Lineage: Eukaryota; Viridiplantae; Streptophyta; Magnoliopsida; Malpighiales; Euphorbiaceae
Source: RNAcentral
UUUAGUACCUCCAUUUGAAAAUUUGUAAGCUUUUCUUCUCAAUAAAUUUCAUUGUGAACUCUUUUAACUCUGAUUUCUUAUGAGAUGGAUUUAUUUAAAGCCAUAUACAUUACCUUCACAGAAAGAAAAAGAAAAAGAAUCCCAUUUAGGUUUUGACUACUGCUUUUGCGCUGAGGUUCCUAUAAUUGCUUUUGGUCAAAUGAAUGAUUAACAGCUCUGGUGAUGUUCUAUCUGUUCAAUUGAAUAGUAGUGCUAUGG